AGAAAAGUCGACGCACUAUCGCGGAAGAGGAAGAGUCGAAGGCGAAGGCGGAAUCUUCUGGCGACGAUGUAGAAAUGCAACAGGGAAUGGCUGACGAAGAAACGAAACUUGAUGAUAAUGGCGACCAACCGCACAACAAAGAAACUGUGACAAGAGCAGCAUCUCGGUCGAUACAAGU
Molecule: non-coding RNA, 178 nt
Filed under: uncultured Nitzschia
Lineage: Eukaryota; Bacillariophyta; Bacillariophyceae; Bacillariales; Bacillariaceae
Source: RNAcentral